UCAUUUUCAUCCUCAGCUGGGACCGCCUCUGAGACAGCACAUACUUCCUUGUUUGAGAAACAGCAGAGGGGCUGGUGUGGUUGGAGCAGAAUGAAUGAGAGAGAUGGACGGGACAUAUCGUGUGUCGACAUUAUUCUGAGAAAGAUGGGAAUUGUUGAGUGUCACUAGCCUACAGAUUCUCUGACAAGCCUAAAUAUCGCCAGCAAUACCAAGACAGCAAAACUGAUGAAUUCCUACUAUUCAGCUUCCUGCAAAAGGACCCACCCAGGAAUGUUUGGGGAUUUCUGUGUAACCUGGAGAUAGCCACUAAGUUCUGGAGCUCUUUGAGAUUCCUCGGACCUUUACAGUAUGCCGAACAUAAUUUCUAAUUAAUCUAAGGAAUUUAAGAACUAAGUUACUUAAUAAAAGAGCUCUUAUACCUGGAUUAAGGUAUCAGACCAAGAGGAAAGCAUCAAGACUUGGUGGGAUGAUGUAAAAGGAUGUUGCGUAAGAAUCUGAAGUCAUUACCCACUGACGGAUCACAAAAGGGCUCUGUUCCUUGUUCCUGCAAGAUUGCAGAGGAUUUCACAACAGUGAUGGGUAUAAGCGCAAGACUCAGGGACUCCGGGACAUGAUUUCAGCCUCCAUCAUGUACUAGUUACUAGAUGGGGAAAUUAUAAAUACCUGGUCUCCAGGAACCGAAACUGUAGCAGCAGUUGGACACUAUGAGUUUUGAGAGAGAAGAAUCUUUAUGUUGUUUGAAUCCUGAACAGAGUCGAAGAGAAGAGUAGAAGCUUGGGAUGAGGAAAAUCGGAGUUUCCUUUUUAUUCCUCCUUUUUUGUGUGUAUGGCUGGAAAUUUAGAGUAGAUGGUAGCCAGUUUGCAGUAAACUGUCUCCCCCUGUGGUUCUUUGGUGCUGUAUUCAGAUCCUGAUUAUUCCUGAACACCUGGUUCAUGGGCCACGUUUUGUACAAAACCGUCCUGAGCUAUCCCAGUCAGCUCAUACUACCCUCAAC
RNAcentral lists this long non-coding RNA (994 nucleotides) under Canis lupus familiaris (dog). Its description in RNAcentral is "lncRNA (ENSCAFG00845004411.1)". The record is from RNAcentral. Lineage: Eukaryota; Metazoa; Chordata; Mammalia; Carnivora; Canidae.